RNAcentral lists this ribosomal RNA (479 nucleotides) under uncultured bacterium. RNAcentral's name for it is "SSU rRNA". It matches the Rfam family "Bacterial small subunit ribosomal RNA", at positions 26 to 521 of the family's 1533-position model. The record is from RNAcentral.
AGGACGAACGCUGGCGGCGUGCUUAACACAUGCAAGUCGAACGGUAAGGCCCUUCGGGGUACACGAGUGGCGAACGGGUGAGUAACACGUGGGUGAUCUGCCCUGCACUUCGGGAUAAGCUUGGGAAACUGGGUCUAAUACCGGAUAUGACUACGAAUCGCAUGGUUUGUGGUGGAAAGCUUUUGCGGUGUGGGAUGGGCCCGCGGCCUAUCAGCUUGUUGGUGGGGUGAUGGCCUACCAAGGCGACGACGGGUAGCCGGCCUGAGAGGGUGUCCGGCCACACUGGGACUGAGAUACGGCCCAGACUCCUACGGGAGGCAGCAGUGGGGAAUAUUGCACAAUGGGCGCAAGCCUGAUGCAGCGACGCCGCGUGAGGGAUGACGGCCUUCGGGUUGUAAACCUCUUUCAGUAUCGACGAAGCGCAAGUGACGGUAGGUACAGGAAGAAGGACCGGCCAACUACGUGCCAGCAGCCGCGGU